Arachis stenosperma is the source of this 104-nucleotide small nucleolar RNA. The record is from RefSeq and is a predicted model, not a curated record. NCBI's taxonomy places the organism in Eukaryota, Viridiplantae, Streptophyta, Magnoliopsida, Fabales, Fabaceae.
AUGUGGUGAGGGCACGAAUCAAGGAGCUUCCUAAAACGUUCCCAAUACUCAUAGAGAGUUUCCAAUUCAUCUUGAAUGAUGCAAGAGAUUUUCUUCCUCAACUU